RNAcentral lists this long non-coding RNA (3622 nucleotides) under Callithrix jacchus (white-tufted-ear marmoset). Its description in RNAcentral is "lncRNA (ENSCJAG00000080267.1)". The record is from RNAcentral. Lineage: Eukaryota; Metazoa; Chordata; Mammalia; Primates; Cebidae.
UAGGUAAUAGAUUUAAUUUGGUAUUUCCCCAUUAACAUCUGAAAAAUAUUGGAGUCGGCAGAUUUUGAAACAGAGGUAUCAUUUUUAACAUGGAUACUCAUGCAAUUGAGGAAACAGUAGACCCUGUGUGUGAUGCCACCUUUCUCGAGAAGACAGCAGACCUCACCCUGACAGUCAGUGUCUCAGCAGGAGCCAGACACGGGGCUUUUCUGUCUUUCUCCCCUCCAGUUAGAGACGGGGCGCGCAGUACACAGUCAAGGAUCCACCGUAGCAGAGAAGAGGACACCAAUUGUUUCAGGAAGAUGCGACUCUGUACCCCUUUCCUCCUUGUCCUCUGCUGGCUUAAUUCUACAUGCAAUAGUCCCAGCUGUACCCCAUGUUGCCAUCUUAUUCUCCCCAUGACAGCUCUCUCCCUUGAGAGAACAAGAAGGGGAAGGAGAGAGAAGAAUCAUUAAAGUUGGAGAGGCACUGAAAUUUUAACACUUCAACCAAAGGAUUAUUUUACAUGUUUCCUCUUUGAAGUGUAAGUUAUCAAUAUAUUUUACUAUACAUAUCUUACUGGUUUUAGAAUGUUUGAGGGCACUGCCCAUUUUAGAGUUUGAAGUAAUAUUAACAGUCAUUCAGUUCAAAACUUUUUCCCAAAGACAAAACAUGUGAAUUGUGAAGAAGCCAAAGCAUUUGAGAAACAGCUUCCUGUAUGUAUAAUUUCUCAGUAAGUCAUGAUUGAUUGAAGAGUUCUUUUCAAAAAUCCAUUAUUUCCCAGGAUAUCAGAGAGGAGAAAAUAGAAUAAAAUAAAUUUCCAGUCUUAUGUUUUCAAUAUAAGAAAUGACAAAAUUAUGAUUCUUUUACCAAGAAUUAUGUUACUUCUUUUGAGUAAUCAUUAACUGACACCCAUCAGUUCAUUUUCAAAUGCUUUCAUGGGUAGGAGAAACCCGACGUGGGACUGCCCAUAGCCACUGGCCUAAACACACACAUGUCAUCAGCUCCUGCUUGAAGACAUGCCCAGCUUCUUAUUUUGAAAAAUUCUCACUGCCCUUUGCAGGCAAAGGGAGAUAAAAGAUAGCAUUUGUUACUCAAUUUGCUCUAUACUGGGUGUAACACUCAACGGCCAGUGGUUUGAUCUGUAAAGCACACAGGGAGAAAAGUGCUUGCUCAGUCUAAGGGAUGCCAACAAUCCUGUUUCCAGAAGGAGCUUCGAACCCCAGCAGUCUCUGAAUUAUGUGAGAACCAUCAGCAGAUGGUUGCUGUAGCAUAUUAACAGGAUGACGUUGAUUAACCUGGCAUUAGAACACAUCUCAAUGCACUUCUCUUGCCACAAGACGUGGACUUUCAAGGCGUUGUUGGCAGAGUCCGGAAUUUGCAUAAUGUGAGAAUGUAAGAGUGGAGGUGAAAAUCUCCUAUGCGUAUCAGACCUAUCAGAGGACAGCCUAGAGGCAACGUUUUAGAAAAGUUUCUAAAGCUGUGGCCAUCUGGGAUAUUUUCAAGUUUCAGAAAAGUCUGCCCCGAGCUGAAAGGGCUCUUCACAAUCUCUUCUUCGCGACAUUACUUUCUGUCUCAGGGGAUGUACAAGACGAGCUUGAAGCACCCCAUAGUGACAGAAAGAAAACAAAAUGCUCAAACACACCCCAUCAUGUUCACACACACACGAUGGAGCUAUGCCAAAGAGACACAGGAAUCAACUGGAAGAGCUCCCAGUGGUCAAACCUGGGACGAUUUGAUCAAGCAACAUAAAUAAAAUGCUUAGAUUAUAACUAAAACUAUGACAUAAAAAGCUGUACCUAGAGAUAUAAAGAGCCGGGCGCGGUGGCUCACGCCUGUAAUCCCAGCACUUUGGGAGGCCGAGGCGGGUGGAUCACGAGGUCAUGAGAUCAAGACCAUCCUGGUUAACACGGUGAAACCCCGUCUCUGCUAAAAAUACAAAAAUUAGCUGGGCAUGGUGGCGCAUGCCUGUAGUCCCAGCUACUCAGGAGGCUGAGGCAGGAGAAUUGCCUGAACCCAGGAGGCAGAGGUUGCAGUGAGCCAAGAUCGCGCCAUUGCAGUCCAGCCUGGGUAACAAGAGCGAAACUCCGUCUCACAAAAAAAAAAAAAAAAAAAAAAAGAGAGAAAUAAAGAGUACAUAGAGAUAUAAAUAACGAUUGAAUAAAUACAUAAAGGGCAGAAGAGGCACAUCUCCAGUGAAGAGGAUUCCAAAUAAUUUAUGUACGUAUUCUGCCCUCAAGUAAGUGAAGCAGGAUAUUUCCCUGAUUCUUUCACAGGAUUCACAAAGGAGUGCUUCCUUCACCCGCCUGCAGCUGUCAACUCCUCGUGGGAGGGAGCAUGCCAGCACAUGAGGCCAGAACUGGAGCGCAUGAAUGCUGGAACCAGCUGGCUGCUUCGGUGUGGCAGAGGCAAACUCCAGUCAGAACGACUGCAUUCCACCCCUCACGGGAGAGAGCACACACAUGAGCCGGUGCAGGAGCCGGGGCUAGCGCUUCUGGGUUCUGGCCGCAGUGAACCUAGUGUGGCCUUGCAGCGGUGUCCUGGGAGGAUCCACGACCCCUGAAUUGCCAGAGGGAAUGUUAAACUGCUCUUUUAGCUCAGCCAUCUAUAGAUGGCUUACGUGGUAGCAGCUCAUUGGGCCCUCUACCUUUUCACAUGAGGUGGUCAACUUCUGGCAGCAAGGGCAGAGGCAAGUAUGACAGCCUUUUGCAUCUGUAUUUGUGGCUCCCAAGCUCUUGUCUAGCAUCCAGGAGAAAUGAGGUCACAUGAAUGAAUUGAAGAAUGGUAAAGGCAAUGAUUUUAUUGCCAAUAAAAGUGGCCCUCAGCAGGAAGGGGAGCUGAAAAGGGGACAGGAUGGGAAAGUAAUCUUCCCCUGAAGUCCGGACAUCUGCAAACAAAUUCUUCUCUGCUGUCUGGUCAUCUGCAGCCAAAUUCUUCUCUGAAGUUACACCAUCAAGCUGCCCCUCUGAAGUCAAGCUUCUUCUCUGAUAUCCAGCUGCUUCUCUUCUCUGCCAGCUGAGUAUGGGAUUUUUAUAUGCACAGGAUGGUGGGGUGGGACAGGGCCAUGAGUGGUUUUGGAAAAGGCAACAUUUGAGCAGGAAAACAGGGAUGUAAGCUCUCACUUUGGGCCAUGGUCUCAGGCUUUUCAGCUUGAAGGUGGUGCCUCACCAGGGACCUGCCACUGUCUGCCUAGAAUUUCUCUAGGCAGGUUGCACAUAGUAUAGAAAAGGAGAGUAAAGAGUAACUUUGCAGUGCAGGAUCUUGGCAAACAUAACCUCGGCCAGGUGGUCAGGGUCAGCAUCAACCGGGAUCAGUCAUGUUGAUAGUGUAUACCAUUAGUAGGAUGUAAUGAAAAUCAAGCUUUACCUAUGCAAAAACCCAUAACCCAUAACCCCAGUCUAAAAUGGAGAAACAGAUAAAUCCUAACAAGAGGAACCCAUUACGAAUUUCCUGAUCAGUGUUCCUCAAAACUGUCAAGGUCAUUAAAAACAAGGGAUAUGGGAGAAAGUGGUGCCACCAAGAGGAGCCUGGAAGACACAGUGAGUAAAUCGAGUGCAGAAUCCUGGAUGGGGCUGGAACAAGAAAAGGACAUUGAGUACAAAUAAGGAAACCUGAAUAAAUUAUGGGCUUUACUUAAUAACAA